This is a small nucleolar RNA of Penaeus monodon (black tiger shrimp), 198 nucleotides long. RefSeq annotates it as small nucleolar RNA U3. The record is from RefSeq and is a predicted model, not a curated record. Lineage: Eukaryota; Metazoa; Arthropoda; Malacostraca; Decapoda; Penaeidae. The transcript has a single exon.
GAAGAUAUACUUUAUAGGCAAAUUUUAUGUGGAUUGCCGGGGUUUUCGCCCAAAAUUCUGGGGAAAAUAUUCAACCCCGAUGAGGACUUUUCAGUGUGAUCCUCUGAGCGGGAACCGGGUCCUUUCGUAUUUUGUAAAAGCAUUUAUGACCGUUUUGGUCGGUAUACCGGUCUAGAGGGGGUUUUACGAGACUGGGGU